This 552-nucleotide ribosomal RNA is filed under the name Streptococcus uberis C8329. RNAcentral describes it as "bacterial SSU rRNA". It matches the Rfam family "Bacterial small subunit ribosomal RNA", at positions 1 to 535 of the family's 1533-position model. Lineage: Bacteria; Bacillati; Bacillota; Bacilli; Lactobacillales; Streptococcaceae. The record is from RNAcentral.
UAAAAUGAGAGUUUGAUCCUGGCUCAGGACGAACGCUGGCGGCGUGCCUAAUACAUGCAAGUAGAACGCUGAGGACUGGUGCUUGCACUGGUCUAAGGAGUUGCGAACGGGUGAGUAACGCGUAGGUAACCUACCUCAUAGCGGGGGAUAACUAUUGGAAACGAUAGCUAAUACCGCAUGACAAUAGGGUACACAUGUACCCUAUUUAAAAGGGGCAAAUGCUUCACUAUGAGAUGGACCUGCGUUGUAUUAGCUAGUUGGUAAGGUAACGGCUUACCAAGGCGACGAUACAUAGCCGACCUGAGAGGGUGAUCGGCCACACUGGGACUGAGACACGGCCCAGACUCCUACGGGAGGCAGCAGUAGGGAAUCUUCGGCAAUGGGGGGAACCCUGACCGAGCAACGCCGCGUGAGUGAAGAAGGUUUUCGGAUCGUAAAGCUCUGUUGUUAGAGAAGAACGGUAAUGGGAGUGGAAAAUCCAUUACGUGACGGUAACUAACCAGAAAGGGACGGCUAACUACGUGCCAGCAGCCGCGGUAAUACGUAGGUCCC